UACGCCGCUCCUGUCGACAUUAGUAAUAGGGUUAUACGUCCACGCCGCCGCCGUCACCGCGGAUCCCCAGUGACGCUGCCGACGCCGUUGCCUGUCCCCAGGCCACUGCCACUUCCGCCAAUCCCCAGGACGCCGCCGCCGCCGAUCCCCAUGACACCGAUGCUGACGCGGAUCCGUACACGCUGCCGCCGUUGCAGAUCCCCACACGCCGAUGCCGUCCAAUAGCAUCGCCCGCUGGACCUAACCACGGAGCUGGAGGAGCGCGCUGGAUGAGGUACGGGAUCGCAGCCGCCGAGCCGAGGUCGUGCUUGUGUGGAGUCGCCGCACUCCGCACGCCGCUACCGCCGCAGAUCCCUGGGGCCGCCACGGCCGCUAAUCCCCGCGGACGAAGCCAUUCCACGAACGGCCGCUGCAGGCACCACAACAGCAGCUCGUUACCGAAAUAUCAGGGGCGUAGAUGAUGUACAGGAUCAUCUCGUCCAUGCCAUGGAACAAAGCCACCUGCUUGACGAGCUCCAAAUAGAGGAACGGAGGGAGUAUUUGAAACUCAUUUCUUCAUGCGAACACCAGGGUUUGUUCAGUGGCAACAUGUGGUGAGAUAGACAACAACACAGCUUGGCAUUGGGCAAAGGAGAAUAAUGCACAUGUGAUAUUAUCUACAUCGAUUCCCUUAUUACCAUGGUUGUAUUCUGCUAACUUGCCAUCUACUUACUAGAAUUGGUCACAAAUGAUAGUGCGGUUUGAAGGUAAAAUAUUUGUGUUUUUCAUUCUUUCAUUGAAUAGUCAGAUCGAUCCUUAAUAAAGCAUGUUGCAUCUAAUGUCACCAUUAUAGAGAUUUGAUCUAUUCACUUUCUCGUGCUUACACAUUAAUAUUAGAGCCUGUUGCUAGUAAGGCAAGGUAUUAUUGCACAUUGAUUAUUGAUUAUUUUCUGUUUCAAAUUCUAGACCACAACCUUUAUCUCUACCGUGAGCAAGGAGUCUGAUACCAACUGCUAAUUAAGUUUUGUCUUUUUUUUUCACUCAGUUGCAUUCAGUGUGUAAUACAUUUACAUUGGUUUCAAAUAGUACAACUGCGGACAUAUCCACCUAUGCAGAACACCCAACUAUUUCAUCCGGUGAACUGCGUAGAUCUUCUAUGUGCAUCUCCGUCAUGUUUAACUACAACAUGCUUAUGUGAUCUUAUCAUGAAGUCAUUUUUCAGUUUGUGUGCAACGUGACUACAUGUAAAUUUGUAAUACACCAACUUUUUUCUUCCUUUUUGUUUUUCGAUUGACUCAAUUUACCAUCUCAAAUGUCAUUCCCUUUAUAGCUAGCACAUCAUCUCCAAAGAAUUUAUUUAAGUUGAAAUCCAGUAAUUAAAUGUUGAUCGCAUAAGCAGGCUGAUGGUAUAUUGGUUGAAUUUUUUUAUUCCUACUGUAUUGAACUAAAACUGUUCUUUCCUGAAUAUAUUGGAUCGCAAAGAACUAAAUCUAUCUACAAUGUCUUUGGGCAUAUUCUGAAUUUGCAGAGUUAGCACAAACCUGAAAGCGUAUAUGCAGCUCCCAGAUGUUGCAGGCAAAAGGAAGGGCACAUACGUCAUGCGAUACCAUGUAUCUGGUAGUGGUUUCGUCCCUCAGACGCUAUGCAUUCAUUGUCUGGUUUGUAUGUAUUUGUGAUUUUCCAACUAAUAUAGUGUUAGCUCUAUGUUAACCUUCUUUUAGGUACUUCCCAGGAUUUUCUUUGUAGGAAACCCCAAAAAUAUAAAUAGGUGUAUUUUCCCAUGAAGAUGCUAAAUUUUGUUGGUCUUAUUUAUGGGAUAGCAAAACCAUUUUUGUGUGCACUUAAUUGUCAGGUUGGACGCACCGGGUGUUGGGAGUUUUGAGCAGAUUAACACCAAUACUGCUUCUAUAUCCACCUCUACUAUUAUUGCUUCUAUAUUUCCUUAUUGCAUGUCUUUGUUUCCGGUAGGCCACGCCACCCUUUUCUACUAAGUUAUAUACAUCCAAUAUGUUGGUGUUGUGACCUGUAUGUAGACGAAAUAUUUUAGGUUUGUAUGAAUAAUUUGUAUGUGAUUUCAUACAGUAUCUUGUUGACGCUAUGAGCAUCGAUUGUCAUAUAAGAUGAAGGAGCUUCUAGCGCCAGUUCCGAUCAGUGAUUAUAUGAAGGCAACAAUAAAAUAUUUGAAGCAACAGUGGGGCACAAGGUUGGUGCCAGUAAUCUAUAGAGGUCUGAAGGAAAGACGACAUGAUUAUUUGAGUUGGUUGAGAAUCACCCAGGUCAUGGCUACAUCAGUUAAUCUUGGAUUUGCCCUGGUGGCACUUUGAUCGCACCACACCAAAAGGUCUAGAAGAUCAAGAUAUAUGCACACAAAUGAUUAUUUUGCUAAUUAAAUUGGUCAGUGUAAUACUCAUACAACUACCAUCAUAAGACAUUGCCAUCUCAUCUAUGCAGGACAUGGUUGAUUAUCAGGUGAGUGAAUUCUGGCGAGAAUGAACCAAGUAAGUUUUCAUAGUUGGUCUAUUCAAAAUGGAUGAAAGGGACCGGUUACUGUGGAUAUAAGUUUGCACUCUGUCUUCCUGCUCAUUCAACCAAUGUGUUCAUGGGAGACUUAUUUUAGGGAAACAUAAAAACAAUUAUUUUUUCUAUGCGUAGUAUUAAAUAUGCUCUUAAAUUUUAGAAUAUUAUUUUUUCGCCAGAUUUUAAAUGUUAGGCUUCAAUAAAUCUGAAAUUUCUAUAGUUUGAUUUGCUAUGUUUAUUUCACGCUUACCACUAGGAAAUGCUUCAUUUUAAUCAUUUUAUUUGGUGCACACCAUUGUAAGUGUAUUAUUAUAAGAAGUCAAGUCUAUUCUAGAAGAAUAUUCACUCAUGAUAGUUUUAAGUUUUGGUAAAGCAGAAUGUGUAAAUUCAUUUUAAAUUGUCCAACAGAUAAUAGAUUGUUCCGCGUAAAAGAAAAUGAUGCUUACAAAAAAUUAUGCUUGAUUAGGAUUUAACGAUGAGGGACGCUACUUGGGAUGAUGCUUAAUUAGGUAGAUGACACAUUAAUGGUGUGCUAGCCAUUAAUGAUGAUGCUCUUAUUUUACAAGGUUUAUAUAAAGAGGGAGAAUGCUGACAGUUAGAAUUUUAGGCUGAAAAAGAAGUAAAUAUUAGAGACCUAUUCUGCAUAAUUCCAAAAGUUUUAAAACUUCAUGGGAGUAAGUUUUAGAAUAUAUAAAAAAUAUUGGGGAAGAAAGUAUCAGAGAGGGCCACCCACCAUCCACGAGGGUGGGGGUGCGCCCUACAUCCCUGGGCGUGCCCCCGUGCCUCGUGGUCCCCUUGGCAGCCUUUUGACUAUAUGGAGUCUUUUAUCGAGAAAAAAAACCAUAAGCAAGCUCACGGAACGAAACUUCGCCGCCAUAAGGUGAAACCUUGGCAGAAUCAAUCUAAGGCUCCGGCAGAGCUGUUCUGUCGGGAAAACUUUUUUUUGGGAGGGGGAAAUCAUCACCAUCGUCAUCACCAACAA
Molecule: long non-coding RNA, 3478 nt
Organism: Triticum dicoccoides
Lineage: Eukaryota; Viridiplantae; Streptophyta; Magnoliopsida; Poales; Poaceae
Exons: 5
Source: RefSeq, a predicted model, not a curated record